This 74-nucleotide transfer RNA is filed under the name Haemaphysalis longicornis (longhorned tick). It matches the Rfam family "tRNA". Rfam says of the family: Transfer RNA (tRNA) molecules are approximately 80 nucleotides in length. The record is from Rfam by way of RNAcentral. Lineage: Eukaryota; Metazoa; Arthropoda; Arachnida; Ixodida; Ixodidae.
CCGCUGGUAGCGUAGUGGUUAUCGCACCAGACCGGUAUUCUGGAGGUCGUGGGUUCGAUCUCCCACCCGGCGGG